This is a non-coding RNA of Coffea arabica (coffee), 1200 nucleotides long. The record is from RefSeq and is a predicted model, not a curated record. NCBI's taxonomy places the organism in Eukaryota, Viridiplantae, Streptophyta, Magnoliopsida, Gentianales, Rubiaceae.
GAGGGCGAAAGACCAACAACAAUUGAAGUGACAUUCCCACUUUAUAUAAAGUACUUUACAUACAAUACUUUCAAAGUUAAUGAAAUAUGAGCAGCACGAUCGAGUCUUGUUAUUUGUCUUCUCUCAAGAGCAAAAGUACUGGCAAGUUAUCUUCUUCUUAUAAUUGAGUUAGUGAUAUUAUAUUAUUGAAUUUAUUUCUUGUUCCCACGAAUAUUUUUAUGUGCGUAAAAUGUCUCCUCUCGUGUUAUGUUGGUAUGAACCAAAUCACUUCAUACGUGUUCUUUCGCCGUUUUUUAUUUUUAUUUAUUUUUAAUUUUUUUGUAAGCUCCUUAAUUCUAUCAUUGAUUAAGCAUACACCAGGGAGGUGAACGCCCAAACCAGUACAAAAGUAUUCAGUAUCAGAACCACAGAGUUCAACCAGUUCCAGCCAUCUAACUAACUGAAAAGACAGAAAAAUUCACUGUCAAUGCAUUAUGCAGAAUGCACAUAUAUUCUCCUGCAUCUUCUGGUGCACCCCUCUCCGUUCAGCAGCAACAACCAUGCAAACAUCUCCAAUGAUCGAUCUGCCAUAUAUGUGCUCUUUCUUGUAACAACUGCAUGGAAUAUACCACUCCAUUUCCCUGUGCACCACCGACAGUUUUAUGUGCUGCAGCCAGGAUUAAUGUGGAACAAAAAGCUGCCGGAGUAGUUAAGCUGUAAUUUUCAUCGGGGACAAGAGUUAUCAAAAGAAGGAAGGAAGAAAAAAAGAACAUGACCAUCUCCUACAGUUGCUUAAUUUCUCGAGGCUAUUAAUCAAGAACUAGUAGUCGUCAAUAGAAGUCUAAUCGGGGGCAUGCGUCCUAGACACCUAGAUUCUCAUAUUAUAAAGGAGAAGAUAACAUCAAGGAUUAGGUGUUGACAGCGUUGCUACUUGCUACCAAAUAGAAAAAUCAAAAGCAGCCAAAGUUUGCUUGAGUUUCUUUCUUUCUUGCUUUCUUUUUUUUUUAAAAAAAAAAAAAAAUAAGGCUGCUUAGUUUAUUAACAAGAAAGUGUACGUGUGGUAUGAAUGUAGAUUUCCAUUCAUUCAACUACUUCCCUUGCUUAAUUGGAUGAACAAAAUCGGGUUAGAGAAAUUGAGUUCCUGCUCUGUUGUAUGAAUGAAUAGCCAAAAUAACCAUCAAUACAUCUGUUGCAGUGAUGCACUCUACUGUUUUCAUGAGA